Molecule: transfer RNA, 87 nt
Filed under: Verrucomicrobiota bacterium
Lineage: Bacteria; Pseudomonadati; Verrucomicrobiota
Also listed under: 1 other name
Description: Verrucomicrobia bacterium (gut metagenome) tRNA-Leu
Rfam family: tRNA
About the family: Transfer RNA (tRNA) molecules are approximately 80 nucleotides in length.
Source: RNAcentral
GCCGGCGUGGCGGAAUUGGCAGACGCGCCAGACUCAAAAUCUGGUGGUAGCAAUACCAUGAGGGUUCGAGACCCCCCGCCGGUACCA